GACGAACGCUGGCGGCGUGCUUAACACAUGCAAGUCGAACGGAAAGGCCCUGCUUUUGUGGGGUGCUCGAGUGGCGAACGGGUGAGUAACACGUGAGUAACCUGCCCUUGACUUUGGGAUAACUUCAGGAAACUGGGGCUAAUACCGGAUAGGAGCUCCUGCUGCAUGGUGGGGGUUGGAAAGUUUCGGCGGUUGGGGAUGGACUCGCGGCUUAUCAGCUUGUUGGUGGGGUAGUGGCUUACCAAGGCUUUGACGGGUAGCCGGCCUGAGAGGGUGACCGGCCACAUUGGGACUGAGAUAGGGCCCAGACGCGUACGGGAGGCAGCAGUGGGGAGUAUUGCGCAAUGGGCGGAAGCCUGAUGCAGCAACGCCGCGUGCGGGAUGACGGCCUUCGGGUUGUAAACCGCUGUCGCCUGUGACGAAGCGUGAGUGACGGUAAUGGGUAAAGAAGCACCGGCUAACUACGUG
This 468-nucleotide ribosomal RNA is filed under the name uncultured bacterium. RNAcentral's name for it is "partial 16S ribosomal RNA". It matches the Rfam family "Bacterial small subunit ribosomal RNA", at positions 28 to 507 of the family's 1533-position model. The record is from RNAcentral.